GAUGAACGCUGGCGGCGUGCCUAAUACAUGCAAGUCGAGCGAACAGACGAGGAGCUUGCUCCUCUGACGUUAGCGGCGGACGGGUGAGUAACACGUGGAUAACCUACCUAUAAGACUGGGAUAACUUCGGGAAACCGGAGCUAAUACCGGAUAAUAUAAUGAACCGCAUGGUUCAAUAGUGAAAGACGGUUUUGCUGUCACUUAUAGAUGGAUCCGCGCCGCAUUAGCUAGUUGGUAAGGUAACGGCUUACCAAGGCAACGAUGCGUAGCCGACCUGAGAGGGUGAUCGGCCACACUGGAGCUGAGACACGGUCCAGACUCCUACGGGAGGCAGCAGUAGGGAAUCUUCCGCAAUGGGCGAAAGCUUGACGGAGCAACGCCGCGUGAGUGAUGAAGGUCUUCGGAUCGUAAAACUCUGUUAUUAGGGAAGAACAAAUGUGUAAGUAACUAUGCACGUCUUGACGGUACCUAAUCAGAAAGCCACGGCUAACUACGUG
RNAcentral lists this ribosomal RNA (497 nucleotides) under uncultured bacterium. Its description in RNAcentral is "partial 16S ribosomal RNA". It matches the Rfam family "Bacterial small subunit ribosomal RNA", at positions 28 to 507 of the family's 1533-position model. The record is from RNAcentral.